CAGGCUUAACACAUGCAAGUCGAGGGGAAACGAUAUUGGAAGCUUGCUUCUGAUAGGCGUCGACCGGCGCACGGGUGAGUAACGCGUAUCCAACCUGCCCAUCACUUGGGGAUAACCUUGUGAAAGUAAGACUAAUACCCAAUGACGUCUCUAGAAGACAUCUGAAAGAGAUUAAAGAUUUAUCGGUGAUGGAUGGGGAUGCGUCUGAUUAGCUUGUUGGCGGGGUAACGGCCCACCAAGGCGACGAUCAGUAGGGGUUCUGAGAGGAAGGUCCCCCACAUUGGAACUGAGACACGGUCCAAACUCCUACGGGAGGCAGCAGUGAGGAAUAUUGGUCAAUGGACGAGAGUCUGAACCAGCCAAGUAGCGUGCAGGAUGACGGCCCUAUGGGUUGUAAACUGCUUUUAUAAGGGAAUAAAGUGGGAGUCGUGACUCUUUUUGCAUGUACCUUAUGAAUAAGGACCGGCUAAUUCCGUG
Molecule: ribosomal RNA, 477 nt
Filed under: uncultured bacterium
Lineage: Bacteria
Description: bacterial SSU rRNA
Rfam family: Bacterial small subunit ribosomal RNA
Source: RNAcentral